RNAcentral lists this long non-coding RNA (686 nucleotides) under Calidris pygmaea (Spoon-billed sandpiper). RNAcentral describes it as "lncRNA (ENSCPGG00000009906.1)". The record is from RNAcentral. Lineage: Eukaryota; Metazoa; Chordata; Aves; Charadriiformes; Scolopacidae.
CUCUUCACUGCCAUCAGGAAAUGGACAGCCGACUUCCACUCCAGUGAACCAAAAGCUGCCUUUUCCCAGACAAGGAAGGGAAAGGAGAUUUUAGGAGAGAGCCAUUAAUGUGUCUUCCUUCAGUUUUCAGGUUACCGAAGCCUCUACUGAAACCAAGAGGAAGAGACCCUGUUCCCCAGCCUGAGAAGCAGCAGAGGAGGUUUAUUACGGAGUAUGAAAAUCAGGAAGCUUUUUGUUCACUUCAUACAUCUCCUCCAACAAAGCCAGGCAUCAGCACCCCGGCACAGACUCCGGAGUGAUUAUUGUUACACAUGAUCUAUGGAGCAGAUAAAUUACAGCUUGAUUUUUAUAAGAGGCGCCGGAGCCCCGGAAAGCGGUGGGGUAGAGCUGUGAAUCCUAGCAACAGGAGGAGAGAGAGAACUGUACGUUUCUUCACGUCCUCCAAGUGCUGGUGCCUUCUGGUACAUCAUUUACAGGGAGCAACAGAGACCUUGGAAAGGCCCUUCAUGCCGUUACAUCAAGAAAGGGACAGUUUUCCCAGCGGGGUGGGUGAAUUAUUACGUUUUGGGGGGCAAAGCAAACAAAGCAGCACACCAGAGCUCAUACUGGUGCUGCCGUUGCGCUUUCCUUCAUCAUAACGCGCUGCCUAUCGCUGAGGGGUUUUCUCAAUUUUCUAUGCUUUUAGU